AACUUUGGUUUUGGUUCUUUUUUUUUCUUCUAAUUUUUUCUUUGUUUUUAUUCUGAUUUCGAUUGUGAAGUCGAAUUUCUACUUUGAAAUUUCAGUUCUUAGGUUUAUGAUUUAGAAUUUGAGGUAGGGAUUUAGGGUUUAGGGUUUGAGGGAUGCGAUUUGGGUUUGAAAUUUCUGAAAAAAAUGCAACUCUUUCUGUAUUUCAAUUUUUACCGUUUCGAUUCGGGCUUAGUAAAAGAGCCGCAUAAGUUAAGUGUGUGUAGUGAAUCUAGUGACUGUGUCAAAUGAAUAAAGACUCAGAAACAGCAAGCAGGUUCUUGGGUUGUCUGUGUGAGUUUGUGGCCUGUUGUUUUCUUAAUCUCGAUCGAUCGAUUGCAGGUUUGCUGGUUAAUUGCAAAUUAAUUAUACAUGCUUGCUUCCUCUGUAUCUUUUGAUGGGUUAUCAUCUUUAUUCAAAUCAACUAAUGCUGAUAACGUUGACGAGGGCGAAAUUCUUCUUGUGGAAGGCUUGUGAAAGUUCACAAAGUUACCAAGAUGGUGCCUCGGAAGAGAGCGAAGGGGGAGAGUAAGAGCAUAACAAAUAUGGACAUAAUAAGCUCCAUCACGCUGUUGAUAUUAUAUGUGUGCAUGAAGCAGGGGGAAAUGUAUAUUCUUUAUUUGUUCACAAGAAGCUGAACACUUGUUUGAUUGUGUGCUUAUAAAAGACGUGCUUCCCAUCUCUUCCCAUGGAGCUCUAACCUUUGAUGAGGCCCAGGUUUAUGAGAAAUUUUUGUCGGCCGAGUUACUUGUGCUCUAUAACCAACAGUAGCAGCUACAUAAGGGUCUUCAUGGUUCUGUUUCGUACUUUGACGGUAAAAGGGGCUGAGAAUAUGAAAAUGUUUUUGUUGCAGAGGCAGCGUGCGACUUUGAAGAUGAUGUUUUUCAAUACAACGCAUCCCUUGUUUCUCUUUAAGAUGGUCCUCUCCUCACCACCUUUUGUUUCCCUCACCUUUAUAUUCUUUUAUUUAUUUAUUUAUUUUCUUAACCAAUCUUCUGACUUUUUGUUUUUAUUCAUUUCUAACUUUUUUUUUCUUUUUAAGACCACAUCAUUUUUGUUCUUCCAUCCAGCUUGGUAACAAAUUAUUGUAACUAAUUUAU
Malus domestica (apple) is the source of this 1136-nucleotide non-coding RNA. The record is from RefSeq and is a predicted model, not a curated record. Lineage: Eukaryota; Viridiplantae; Streptophyta; Magnoliopsida; Rosales; Rosaceae.